UACGGAGGGUGCGAGCGUUGUCCGGAAUCACUGGGCGUAAAGAGCUCGUAGGCGGUUCAGUAAGUCGGGUGUGAAAACUCAGGGCUCAACCCUGAGCUGCCACCCGAUACUGCUGUGACUUGAGUCUGGUAGGGGAGUGGGGAAUUCCUGGUGUAGCGGUGAAAUGCGCAGAUAUCAGGAGGAACACCGGUGGCGAAGGCGCCACUCUGGGCCACGACUGACGCUGAGGAGCGAAAGCAUGGGUAGCAAACAGG
RNAcentral lists this ribosomal RNA (254 nucleotides) under uncultured bacterium. Its description in RNAcentral is "partial 16S ribosomal RNA". It matches the Rfam family "Bacterial small subunit ribosomal RNA", at positions 524 to 776 of the family's 1533-position model. The record is from RNAcentral.